Molecule: ribosomal RNA, 399 nt
Filed under: uncultured bacterium
Lineage: Bacteria
Description: bacterial SSU rRNA
Rfam family: Bacterial small subunit ribosomal RNA
Source: RNAcentral
UGGGGAAUAUUGGGCAAUGGGCGAAAGCCUGACCCAGCAACGCCGCGUGAUUGAAGAAGGUCUUCGGAUUGUAAAGAUCUGUCCUAUGGGACGAAACAAAUGACGGUACCAUAGGAGGAAGCCCCGGCUAACUACGUGCCAGCAGCCGCGGUAAUACGUAGGGGGCGAGCGUUGUCCGGAAUUACUGGGCGUAAAGGGUGCGCAGGCGGCGCUUUAAGUCAGAUGUGAAAUACCCGGGCUUAACCUGGGGGGUGCAUUUGAAACUGGAGCACUUGAGUGCAGGAGAGGAAAGUGGAAUUCCUAGUGUAGCGGUGAAAUGCGUAGAUAUUAGGAGGAACACCAGUGGCGAAGGCGACUUUCUGGACUGUAACUGACGCUGAGGCACGAAAGCGUGGGGAG